CCUAGGGGGAGCUGUCAGGAGGAGGACACUCUCGCUGCUGCUCUGUUCACUGACCAUGUUGAAUGGCUCAGGACAAGAUUCUCAAUACACAACCACAAAUCACUCUCUGGGGAGGCACCUGCAAGCCACCAGACUGUGAGAAUACAUUUCACUGAGAAGGAAUAUUGAAGGUGGCAACACGGCUAGUGAGCAGACCCACCUUCACGUCACUGGACCUUGCCUGUUUCAUCUGGAACUAAAGCAAGUUGUACCAUUCAAGUCUUAGAUCAGCACAACUGACGGAAACAAACAAAACCCUUCCUGACAGCUCUAAAGCCUUUUCGUGUCUGAGGAGGGAUCUUGGGAGUUUGCCCAUGUAAUCUAUUGUGGACUUGGAGAAGGCCUAUGAUGGUUCCUUUUGGGGGUACUUUUGGAGUAUGGGAUACCGGGGUCGUUGGUACGAGCCAUCCGUUCCUUGUAUAACUGGAGAUCUCAAGGCAUCCUGCUGUUGGUCUAUGAUGUGGUUGUGAUGUCCAGCACACACUGGGGCAUUUUGCAGCUGAACGUGAAGUGGCAGGGAGGAGAGUUAGCGCCUCCAAGUCUGAGGCCAUGUUGCUGUGCUGGAAAACGGUGAACUGCUCCCUCUGGGUUGGGAGUGAGUUGCUGCCCCAAGUGAAGGAGUUUAAGUAUCUCUAGU
Long non-coding RNA from Monopterus albus (swamp eel), 676 nucleotides. RefSeq lists it as uncharacterized. The record is from RefSeq and is a predicted model, not a curated record. NCBI's taxonomy places the organism in Eukaryota, Metazoa, Chordata, Actinopteri, Synbranchiformes, Synbranchidae. The transcript has 5 exons.